UACGUGAUCCUUGAGGUCCCUUCCAACCCGGGUCAUUCUGUGAUUCUGUGAUAACCGCUCGGUUCUCCUCUCACCCUUCAUGCUCCUAACACACACUGGCACCGCCGCCCCAGCCCGGCCGCCCGUCACCGCGAUACCUCAGGAGAGAGCACCAACCCCGCAGCAUGAAGGACCGCACCGCCAUCUUGGGAGUGGGCGGCGCGCCGGAAGUGACGCCAUGUUGGGGGUGGGAGUGGGCCUGAACGGCGCGUGCGCGGAGGGCGGUCACGUGGGGAGGGCGCGAGGCGCGGCCGUUGGUAACGCGGCUCUCACAGAGCCCGCUGCCUCGCGCUCUGAUCUACUUCAUCUUUACUUUAACACAGAGGAAGGGGCUGCCAUCCUGUGUGCUGAGCAGAUGCAUGGGACGAGCUGUGCGGUGGAGGCAGGUGCUUCUGGCCAGCCCAGGAUUGCAGGAGCAGGGAAGGAGUUGUCAUUUGAGCACCAAGAAAUACGUGGUCCAUCCGGCGAGCAGCAGGGCUCCCACCAGCACCGUGUAGCUGAACAACACAAACGCCAGCAGCUCCCGCAGCACCUUGAGGAAGUGGAUGGCAAAGGAGUCCGGCAUCGUUCCCCACAGCACCGUGGUGCAGGAACCUGACCAGUGAGGAUCUGAGGACACUUAUCAGACUGAUGAACAAUCUAAAGAGGAAUAAAGACGAACAAACUAAAGGGGAAAUGGGCCCUCAGAACCAGCAACAACUUCCACUGAAAAGCGUCUCUGGGGCAGGCACACACAGCAAGCAAACAAACAAAAAUCCACCAACCAAAUGCAGCAACUACAUCAAAACCACAAAGCCCCAACACAGAAGACAUGCUGAAGUAACUGAGGACUCCUGAGAAUGUUAUAACUGAGUAUUUUUAAGGUAAUUAUUUUCUCCCCACCACUCCAUCUCUUCUCUCCUUUCUGCUUGCUCAGUGCCAUUCACCUCAGAAUUAACUGCUUUCAGCACUUCUGAGAUGCCCCAAAACUUGAAGUACAAACCCUGCAUCCCCCUCAUCCUUUUUAUCUUCCUGGUUGGCUGUGGAGAGAUGGCAGAUUUUUGUGUAGAACAAGACAGAAAUGGAUGUCAGAGAUAAGUAACGGACAGUUAAGUAAGUCUGCCCUCCCUCUUGCCUCAGAGCAGACUUCUCGUGUGCCUUUAACAAAAGAUGGUGCAGCUCAGCUGGCAGCUUUCUACAGUUUUCCACUGAAAUUAUAAUGCCUGGGCUGGUCUGAAGCUCCUGAAAUGCCACAGCAAAUAAUCUGAAGCCAGAAUAGCUCCCUGAGCUCAGUAUCUAUCUGACUAGGAAUCUUUAACUAAUUACACACAGCUAAUUAUUUAUGAAUCGAUAUAAAAAACCACCCCUCAGCAUCUUUAGGCACUUUAACCUUUAGAUGUCAGGAUAAAUCAUUCAUGAAAGAGUAUUCAUUAAUUUUGCAAAGUGUGCCACAUGCAGCCACAGAUUCACUAACCCAACUGACUAGCAGCACACUUACAAUUUAUAGUUACCAUAGUGACUGCUCAAAAUACUUAAAACAUAUGCUUGCUAUCUUUCUUACUGCAUUUUAAUGGUCAUGCACAGAUACUCUGACUGAAGCACUGCUACAUUCUGUGCUUUCCUCCCUAUUGUCCGGUUUUUCAGCAUCUGCUCUGUGAAAUGCUGCUCUGAGACAUCUUCUUUCUCAGCAUCAGCACUCGUUCUCUUAAACCUCGUUCUUAGUUAUGGGAGCUGCUUAUGGACAGAAAAGGUCAUGGUGAAAGUGAACUGAGAAUAUUUCAGUCUGCGAGGCGAUUGGCUCUUUGUGCUUCACAGACCUGGCAGUGAGAUGGGAUCCCUGCUGACAGAUCCACAGGCAGACGGGAUGCAGACACCAGGACUGCUCUGCGAGUUCAUCCAGAAACUACAUGAGGCCACAGCGAGAUGGCAUUCACCUCUGCCAGCCUCGUGGGCUGAAGGGCCCCUUCCUUCAGGGUCUUUCUGACUGGCUACUUCUGAUAGGCAGAAAGAUCUGACCGAUGUCGCUGACUCCUUUUCAAGUUACAACUCUUUCUGAAAAUAACAGGUUGCCUCAAAGAUUCUGAAAUAAUUUAAGAAAACAUGUGGGAGUGGGGAGCAAAGCUCCCAAUGGCUGCUUAGGAUGACAGCAUUCUGUUAUCACAUCACUACUCAGAUGCACCAUGAGUCAGUGGCUGAGCCCACACGUCUGGGAAUCAGGUUAAUCAUCUCCAAAGGCUCUUCAGGAUGAAGAAGCUCAUGCAUUACUCCCAGCAGCAGCCAAAAGGAUUUAGAAACUUGCUUGAUCUGUAGUUACUCAACCUCAGUAUCUCAAAGCAGGACAGCUUCCUUGGGGCAAAAGCCACUCUUGGCUUCAAGAGUGUCAGCCUGUGUUACAGGAUGGAAGACGUCUCUUCCACUGCCACUGAGAGCAGGCAUACCUGUUUCUGCAGAAGAGCUCUCUCAGAAAGCCAGUACACAAAGCCAUGCUCCACUUUUGCUUUUAAACUAGGUGUUACUUAGAUGCCUUCAUGGUGAUAUCACGAGAAGUGCUCCACAAGAAAUGAAACCACCACAUGUAAUGGAUGCAAAUCUAAUAUCUGUCUGGCAAGUGCAAGUGUUAUAAGCUGCAUAACUGUGUCCAUACUUUAAGAUUCCAAUGUGUCCAAGUGUAAUAUUAAAAAAACAGUGUUUUUUCCUAUAAACUAUAACAAAAAAACAACCUCACAUCAAUUCUAGUCCACUGGUACCCAGUACCGGACUGCAGCACUGUUUGUGUACAUGCACAGCAUCAUGUCUAAGUAAGCAAACACAUGCACAGAGCUUUUCAUAGACUCCAAACAAGUAGUUUUAAAUGCUAUCCUGGAAGGCAUUCUACAUAUUCUUUUUUUUCAUGGGAAAGGAGAGCAGGAAUAAGGAGAAGAAUUAAACAGACAGAUUUCCUUCGUACUGCCUCGAUGGAGAUUUCAUAGUUGUAUAAUAAAACUACUCCUGACAGAAAUAGGUGUCUGUUAAUACAUUUGCCUAAAUCAUAUUUAACUUAUGCUUAUUUCCAAGCCUCCUAAGUACCCGCUGUAGGUUACACAACCUUCUGUUCGCCUGCAGUACUAACCUCCCAGUGCAGGUGGUUUCCAAAUGUAUUUUAAAACAUUCUCAGAACAACUCAUCCUUCAAUCACAAACAUGCAGUGCAACGUCACCCCGACAGCAGUGGAACAGCAUGACCCACACUUUCACCACAGAUCAGGAA
Molecule: non-coding RNA, 3264 nt
Organism: Coturnix japonica (Japanese quail)
Lineage: Eukaryota; Metazoa; Chordata; Aves; Galliformes; Phasianidae
Source: RefSeq, a predicted model, not a curated record